CAAUGUCCGAUGAAGAGAUGAGUAUAACUGCCUGAGAUUUAUUAGCAAGUAAAUCAUUACUUGUGUAGAGAGCUGGGGAAGCUGAAAACCAGUAUAAAUCCACGUUAGAAGAUGGUCUCGGAGGAAUUUAUAUGCGAGUGUCGCUUCAAAUGGCAUAAGCGUGUAACGUAGCUGGCGUUAACAGGAGUCCUAUGACUUUUGAGCUCUUCUAUAUAAUAGAAGGGAAAAUUGGGUGGUACCACGUGAGUAUGCUCUCGUCCCAUGU
This 265-nucleotide non-coding RNA is filed under the name Alkalihalobacillus pseudalcaliphilus. Its description in RNAcentral is "Bacillus pseudalcaliphilus T-box sequence". It matches the Rfam family "T-box leader". From Rfam's summary of the family: Uncharged tRNA acts as the effector for transcription antitermination of genes in the T-box leader family. T-boxes are found upstream of many aminoacyl-tRNA synthetase genes and some amino acid biosynthetic genes usually in Gram-positive bacteria. Lineage: Bacteria; Bacillati; Bacillota; Bacilli; Caryophanales; Bacillaceae. The record is from RNAcentral.